Molecule: ribosomal RNA, 249 nt
Filed under: Triticum aestivum (bread wheat)
Lineage: Eukaryota; Viridiplantae; Streptophyta; Magnoliopsida; Poales; Poaceae
Description: partial small subunit ribosomal RNA
Source: RNAcentral
AUGUGCGAUGGUCUCAGGACUCUUGCAAGCAUCUAUGACGGUCUUGAUGAGAUCAUUUGCCUACCAAGACACCAAGUUUGCUCCUUCCAGCAAAGGAAGAUUUUGGAUGGAGAGAUGGAAUGCUCCGUUGAGCUGUUAGAUCUCUGCAACAGCAUGCAAGAGACCUUCUCCGAGAUGGUGGUCAUCAUCCAAGAGCUGCAGCUUGCUCUAAGAAAAGGAGAUGAUGCAGCAGCUCAAGCAAAGAUCUAG